UACGAAGGGGGCUAGCGUUGCUCGGAAUCACUGGGCGUAAAGCGCACGUAGGCGGCUUUCUAAGUCAGGGGUGAAAUCCUGGAGCUCAACUCCAGAACUGCCUUUGAUACUGGAGAGCUUGAGUCCGGAAGAGGUGAGUGGAACUCCGAGUGUAGAGGUGAAAUUCGUAGAUAUUCGGAAGAACACCAGUGGCGAAGGCGGCUCACUGGUCCGGUACUGACGCUGAGGUGCGAAAGCGUGGGGAGCGAACAGG
RNAcentral lists this ribosomal RNA (253 nucleotides) under uncultured bacterium. Its description in RNAcentral is "partial 16S ribosomal RNA". It matches the Rfam family "Bacterial small subunit ribosomal RNA", at positions 524 to 776 of the family's 1533-position model. The record is from RNAcentral.